UAAUAGAUGUAGCUGACUUAGAAGGGAUUUUGAGAUGUUUUUCGUGGGCUCGAUUGCAUUUAGGGUUUUGGGGAGGGGAAUUUUUUCUUCAGCUUCAAAAAGGGGUUUUUCCUCUCAGUUCAUGUGAUGCUAGUUUGCUUCAUCGGGAAUUGAGGCUAACAUUGCUUCCAUGAAUGGAUGAUAAAUCGUGUGACCUGAAAUGGUGCCAUCUCUCCUUCAUUAGGCUUGAUGUGCUGUGGCCUUCUCUACCUCGAACACCAGAUACAAAAUGGGAGCAACGAUAAUCAAUAUCGAUUGUUCAAAUCGAUGGUUCUACAAUUCGUGCAAUGAACUUGGAGCAAGCUUGCGCUUCUGUGCUGGAAAGUAUUAGUGCACACAACAUGAAGAAAAGACACCAAUGCCAAUGCCAGUAGAGAAAUUGGUGGGAACGACUAUCACGAAUCUUGUAGCUGUCAAGAUUAUCCAUCACAGGACAUUGCGUGGAUCUGUUAAGGGUUUAAUCAACCAAACAAAAACUUUUAUAAUAGGUCCCGCCUUAAAGAGGAAUGAAGACAAGAAUUGCAAACUGUAAGAUGUUGAUUGUGAUGAGAUAGCAAAUCAAGAACCCACCACUCCAACUUUUAGCAGCAUCUUUGGAUCAUCAACACCUCCAUCAAUAAUUCAGCAACCAAAGGAGCAACCCUUGCAAUCACUAGACAGCACACAGGUGGCCAGAGAACUCUUUUUUGAGAGCACACCUCGAAAACAUCUUAGCUCUAGCAAGGGGAAGAAUUGCCCACCAAAAAAGUAUAAAAUCAAGUUUAGUUUAUGUCAUUGCAUACUUACGCUCUUUUAUUUCAAAAUAGGGGACACUCCAAACCAACCCCUUCACAAAAGCAUGGUUGAAGCCGAAACUUUUUUUGAAUCUACUGUUGAAAAGACACUGAAAUUUGUUUGCCAGCUACAUGUUAGAACGCCUUAUGUUUUUGUUUCGAGGGUAUAUGUUUCCUUGCACACUUUCACUCUAUUUUUUGUAUAUUCUUAGAGUGCUGGCAAUACAAUCACAAACUAGGUUAAUCAUAGUGCAUAUAUUUUGUAAUAGCAUGGCAUAAAAACUCAAUCAAAUUUAGCCUCAAUGAUAGGUGAACAUCUCUAUAUUUUGUAAAGCUC
Molecule: long non-coding RNA, 1149 nt
Organism: Theobroma cacao (cacao)
Lineage: Eukaryota; Viridiplantae; Streptophyta; Magnoliopsida; Malvales; Malvaceae
Source: RefSeq, a predicted model, not a curated record